GUGUCAGCAGCCGCGGUAAUACGUAGGGUGCAAGCGUUGUCCGGAAUUAUUGGGCGUAAAGAGCUCGUAGGCGGUCUGUCGCGUCGGCUGUGAAAACCCGAGGCUCAACCUCGGGCCUGCAGUCGAUACGGGCAAACUAGAGUACUGCAGGGGAGACUGGAAUUCCUGGUGUAGCGGUGAAAUGCGCAGAUAUCAGGAGGAACACCGGUGGCGAAGGCGGGUCUCUGGGCAGUAACUGACGCUGAGGAGCGAAAGCGUGGGGAGCGAACAGGAUUAGAUACCCUGGUAGUCCACGCCGUAAACGUUGGGCGCUAGGUGUGGGGGCCAUUCCACGGUCUCCGUGCCGCAGCUAACGCAUUAAGCGCCCCGCCUGGGGAGUACGGCCGCAAGGCUAAAACUUAAAGGAAUUGACGGGG
RNAcentral lists this ribosomal RNA (416 nucleotides) under uncultured prokaryote. Its description in RNAcentral is "bacterial SSU rRNA". It matches the Rfam family "Bacterial small subunit ribosomal RNA", at positions 505 to 918 of the family's 1533-position model. The record is from RNAcentral.